RNAcentral lists this ribosomal RNA (465 nucleotides) under Vreelandella stevensii. RNAcentral describes it as "partial 16S ribosomal RNA". It matches the Rfam family "Bacterial small subunit ribosomal RNA", at positions 338 to 795 of the family's 1533-position model. The record is from RNAcentral. Lineage: Bacteria; Pseudomonadati; Pseudomonadota; Gammaproteobacteria; Oceanospirillales; Halomonadaceae.
CCUACGGGUGGCAGCAGUGGGGAAUAUUGGACAAUGGGGGGAACCCUGAUCCAGCCAUGCCGCGUGUGUGAAGAAGGCCCUCGGGUCGUAAAGCACUUUCAGUGAGGAAGAACGCCUGGUGGUUAAUACCCAUCAGGAAAGACAUCACUCACAGAAGAAGCACCGGCUAACUCCGUGCCAGCAGCCGCGGUAAUACGGAGGGUGCGAGCGUUAAUCGGAAUUACUGGGCGUAAAGCGCGCGUAGGUGGCUUGAUAAGCCGGUUGUGAAAGCCCCGGGCUCAACCUGGGAACGGCAUCCGGAACUGUCAAGCUAGAGUGCAGGAGAGGAAGGUAGAAUUCCCGGUGUAGCGGUGAAAUGCGUAGAGAUCGGGAGGAAUACCAGUGGCGAAGGCGGCCUUCUGGACUGACACUGACACUGAGGUGCGAAAGCGUGGGUAGCAAACAGGAUUAGAUACCCGUGUAGUC